GUCAAGGGAAGCUUGUCGCUUGUCCGUAGUAGUUGUUAAAUUUCUUUAAUUUCGUGAUACGAGGGGGAUACGAGCCAAAUAACACGUUGGUAAAAUAUUUAUCUUUGAUGACUCUAUACCCGCCAUUCUCUAUGCUAACCUGCCAAAACCAGGCGUUGACAUCAACAUUCUAGAAUCGCGCUUCAAUGUGAUUCGUCUUGCUAAGGAUAGUAUUGUACGCGGAAUCGACUACGACCCGGGGAAUAGAUUGGUGUACUGGUGCGAUUCUUUUGCUGAUAAAAUAUAUCGAAUCCCAAUUGAUGGAGAGAGUUCCAAAGAAGUCCUUACAAAUACAAUCGAUCCUUCUUCCUUGGCUCUUGAUCUUGAGAAAGGGAAAAUGUAUUGGAUUUCGGAUAUGUCGGCUGCUAUCACAGAAGCCAAUUUAGACGGUUCCUCUGUUGUAUCUAUCUUUGCCUACGCUAACGUGACUAUGAGACCAACUGGGCUCCUGUUUGAUCCGUUC
Molecule: long non-coding RNA, 502 nt
Organism: Lytechinus variegatus (green sea urchin)
Lineage: Eukaryota; Metazoa; Echinodermata; Echinoidea; Temnopleuroida; Toxopneustidae
Exons: 3
Source: RefSeq, a predicted model, not a curated record